Molecule: long non-coding RNA, 1397 nt
Organism: Dermacentor andersoni
Lineage: Eukaryota; Metazoa; Arthropoda; Arachnida; Ixodida; Ixodidae
Source: RefSeq, a predicted model, not a curated record
AUUAGUAAGUUUCACCCCACGCUAAGGGCAGGAUAUUAGGUAUGUUUCGUCAUUGCUGUUAAAAUCAGCUCUCUUUCGACGCCGUUAGGCCUACACAGAUGAUCACGAGGUAUAAGAGGGGUUUGAUUUUAACGCUGUAGGUGGCACCACUGCCUUAGCGCUGAUGAUGCGUUGACGAUGCGCAAUGCUUUAAAAGCCUAAUCGUUCACUCCAUCAUUAUUUUGUCCUUCGCUCUUGUACGCUACGCGAUGGCGGUGUCGGAAACACCGACUUGACCCCCAGCAGAUGACGCGGACUAGGUGAACAUAUUAAGCCAUUAGCGUCCAGCGUACCAUUAAAAGUGCAGUACCAUUUUCAUUUGUAAAUAAUUAAAGAAGUAACAUACUGUGCUCCUAAGUAGGCACUUUUGCUAAGAGUGAUCCGGCCAAGACGACCGCAUCGUUGUUUUUUGUCAGCUGUAUGAUGUAAUUGAUCUAUUCAUCGCCAAACGUGGAGAAGCGCUGAAAAUAGCAGGUGCUGCUGCUGUAAAUGCACCCUUUUCACCUUUUGUCUGUCGUAGCAUAUGCUUCUCAAAGCUCGACUUGGUGCGUGGGUUUUAGAAGAGACUGGCAGAAGCCAGAAAUAGAAAACAGAAAAGACGAUGUAUAUCCCUCUGCCAAUCGAUAUGGGUCCUUGCAAUUGGAGAUGCUAUGAGUUCGCGGCAGCAGCAUUUAAAAGAGCAGUUCCAGUUGCGAAAGACAAAUUUGAUUGUAAGCGCUGCGAUUUUCGAUUUCUGAGAAAUAGAAGCUCUCUUUCCAUUUCUGAGAAAUACAAGCAGUCUUUCAAUUUCUGAGAGAUAAGGUCCUUCCGCCGGCACAAAUAAACUUCGACUUCGAAAAUUCGCCGAAUUAUUGGAAGAUCUUGCUAAAGGUCUAGAAUGUCUCAAUGCACGUCAAAUGCACGCGCCAUGCGUCAGACACCGGAGCGAGCGACGCCGGCUGCGCAUGGGAGCGUUGGCCUGUUCGGCGACCUUUCUACAUGUUCUUUCUUUUCUUGGAUUUAGGCUGGUUUGUUGGGCUCCCCACGUGUUCGUGCGUUCUUUCUGCACUUCGGCACGGCACUACUGCACUAUUGGACGACGCCAAGCUGGCGCCGUCCGGUGGAGCUUUGUACGGGAACUACUGCUGCUUAUCUGGUGCCACAACGUUGAAUGAAUGCACAAAAAGCCCGUGUUGAGCAACGACGGACGCUGCGGACCAAGGAAGCUACAGGCGUCGGUAGCAGGCAACAAAACGCGGACUAUUUCAUUUUGGUGUAUUCGCCUCCCUCAUUGUCCGAGGCUCCCAGAGCUACGACAGAGCUGCAAGAUAGAUAGUGAUGUAAAGGAAAGAAAUAAAGCAUGAUUCUGCAACCCCUGA